Molecule: long non-coding RNA, 8055 nt
Filed under: Ananas comosus (pineapple)
Lineage: Eukaryota; Viridiplantae; Streptophyta; Magnoliopsida; Poales; Bromeliaceae
Description: long non-coding RNA (ACOM_LNC022992)
Source: RNAcentral
UAUAUGGGAAAUUUUAUUUUAAAAGUAGGGUCAAAUGCAUACAGCUCCCUACAAACAUAGCCAAUUGCGGAUAUAUCCCUGCAAAAUCGAAACUCCAUAAUUGUUCCUACAAAAGUCCCAAGUUAUGCAGAUAUGUCCCUGCAGUUAUCAUCUGUUAGUGAGCUGUUUGUUUUUUAACAGUGAAGUCGUGAAAUGACCAUUUUAUCCUCACAAAUAUAUCCCUCCAAAAGUUUUCCUCUUCCCCUUCUCUUUCUUUUCCUUUUCGGACCGUCGAAAAAGACGACGGCGGCGGCGGCGCGGGGUCAGGUUCGCCGACGACGAAGAAAAGGCAAGAACGCCGAGCACCGGAGCUCUACCCGGAGCUCGUCGCCCUCAACGUCGUCCCCUCCCUCGUCGGCACCGACGCCAACGUCCUCGGUGACCACGACGACCCCGCACACGCCCUCGUCGCCGCCCUCGUCGCCAACAACGCCCUCGAGCUUCUCGUCUAGAAACUCGCCCGCCUUUCCUUCGAGAUCGACCCCGACGAGAUUCUUCUCCCUCGCCGGUGACGAAGAAGAGGGAAGAGGAAGAAGGAAGAAGGAAGAAGAAAGAAGGGAGAAAAAGGGAGAAGAGGAAGAGGGAAGAGGAAAAGGAAGAGGGUUCGCCACCGUCGCCGUCAUAUCUCCUCGCCGGCGACGAAGUAGAAGGAAGAGGAAGAGGAGGAAGAGGAAGAGGGGUAAAUACGUCAAUUCACACUAUAAUUAAUCAUGGUUAAGUAUUUUAAGCAUGGUUAACGAAAAUUUUCUAACAGAUCUGGACGGUAGGGAUAUAUCUGCAUAACUUAGGACUUUUGCGGGAAUAACUUAUGGAGUUUCUAAUUUGCAGGGAUAUAUCCGCAAUUUACUAUGUUUAAAGGAACGUGUAUACAAAUAACCCUUAAAAGUAAUAUAGACGAUAUCUAAAUUUUUAUUUUGACAAUUAGACCAUCUAAAUUAACUUUAUGAAAACCUCUAUACCUGUAAAUUUAUUCCCACCACCAUUUCGAGUGCUACUAUAAAUAUCUAAAUACUAUUGAUAUAUUAAUAUAUAUUUACAAUAUACAAAAAAAAUGUGUAAAAAUUCAUGAAUUCUAAAAUUUUAAUUUUGACAAUUAGACAUCCUAAAUUUUAUGAAAUAGUUUAAUUGUCCUUCUGAUCAAGCAAAAUUUUGCAUAUAGUUUUUCUAUAAUUUAAAAAAAAAAUUAAUUUUUUUUGUCUUUCUUGUUUUUAUAGGUAAGUAUGGUGAUGAAAAUAUAAAGUGAAUCUACCUUUAAUUUUAUUACUUUUCUGAUAUGUUAGAAUGGAGAAAAAUAGAUUUUUUUUAUAUUUUUAAAUAUUUACAAAAUGGAUAUAAUUAUUACUGUCAUAUUUUUAACUACAUACAUCUUUAAUUAUAUAUUUUUUUUUUUGUUACAUCCAAUCUUAAUAUUUUUUUAAAAAAAAAUAUUUAUUCUCGAAAUAUGAAAAUUUUUGAUUAAAAUUUAUUUAAUUCAUUCCACAUAAAAAAACUGCGGCGGGAGCGAUUUUCUCGGGUGGAGUUUGAAACGCGGCACACCCGUUGGUGGGCCCCACGGGCCGUCCCCAUCUCUCCACCGUACGAUCUCCGAAUCGAUGUAUCUUAAUAUGUGCGAUGACGUGUCGCUGUACACCGACGCACGGAAAAGGAGGAUUUCGCCACGUGUACGCCUAAGCGUCGGGCCCGAUCCACGUCACUCGACCGUUUUUGACCGGCACGUGUCCCUCUCCGGUUGGUUUAACCGGGUCGGUGACCGGGAGGGGCAUUUAAGUAAGGAAAAUAGUAAACACACUGCCCAUGUUGUUGUUGUUGUUACUUAUACUCGCUCCUCGGCGGCGAUUUACUCUCCUCUCCUCGGCGGCGAUGGUAAUGGGGUGGUGGGACCGCAUCGUGUUCCCGAUGCGGAGGGUCUGGAUCGGCGUCGCCUCCCGCCUCGGGAUGCGCAAGUCCGGUAAGAUGGACGGCCGCGAUCGAUUCUCGCCUUCGCCGGAAUUUUCCUUNCUAUUCUUUUUUUUUUCCUUCUUCUUUCUUCUGUUUUUUCAUUUCUGGCCUGACAAUGGCGGUGGCAGUUUGGAUUGUUGAGCAGCGGCGGCGGCGGUCUCGACGGCGUCGGCGUUUGUGCACAACAGCAUCGGCGGCAGUCACUACAGCAACGACGGCAGUCACUACAGCAACGGCGACUUUUCUCCUUUUCGUUUUCUCUUUUUUUUUAAAAAAAAACUCUUCUCCUCAUUCUUUUUUUUAUUCUUCUUCUUUUUUUUCUUUACUUCUUGCCUGACAACAUCGAAUGGCAGCUUAGGCGGUGCCAGCGGCGGCUUGGGCGGCGUCGGCAGUACGCACGACAGUGGGAAGCAGCGUCAGCGGUCAUGGUGGCAGUGGCGGCCGCGGGGACAAUGGCGGUCGCUACAACAACAUCAGCAGCGGUCACGACGGCAACAGCCACCGUUUUCCUUUUCUUUUUUUUUUUCUUUUUUUUUGUUUCUCUUCCACUUAUUCUCUGUAACUCGCUCUUCUUCUUUUUCUUCUUUUUUUUUUUAUCUCUUCUUCCUCCUCUUCCUUCUUCUUCUUCUUCCUCUUCUUCUAUUUGAAAGAUAAUUGAAAAUUUAAUGUCACUAUAAUUUUUUUUCCCUAAAAACACCUCCUUAAAUAUAUUUUUUUAAAAAUUAAUUAUUUUUUCGCAUAUUUUUUUAUUUUUAUUUAAUUAUUUUUUUUAAAUAUUAUAUUUAUAUUAUCUAUCCACAGCGAAGCGCGGAUCCUACACUAGUUAUAUUUUAUAACACAUCACUAUUACUCAGGAGGAGGAUCAAACAAACUCUCAUGUUAUUUUAUUCAUUACCGGUUAUUACAGGAUCGGAUGUGCUGCUCUAAUCACUCCAAACAUGUUCGUCGACUUAAUUUAGUAAUGCACACAACACUCCCAACUUAAACAAAAUUAUACCAUACAAAACAAAAUUUCAAAUUUGAAGAGGGAGACCGACCGUCCCUACGGCAAGUGGCAAAAUAUUUGGUGGUUGAUAUCCAAGGUCCCAAGUUCGAGUACUAAUUGAUUUACAUUUUCAGCUAAAUUUAUUUUUAAAUAAAAUAAACGAAGCGGGUAGCGUGCUAUCUAUCUCUCCAAAAAAAAAAAAAAUUGAAGAAGGAGAGAUUUAAGUAACCGUAUACAACAAGAAGGGAGGAUUCUAAUCGACUCUAACACUUUACUGUGGAGAUAUAUAAUCAAUAACCAUCUCAUUUUCUUUACGGAAAAAGGCUCAUUCAAUACUUGCCGAUCACUGCAUCUGCAUUCAUGGGACAUACAAAAAGCCCAAACCACAAAGCAAAAGAGUAGGCCGCUCUGAUCCAGUCAGUUUCAGCAACAAUCAUAGAUGGUCCCUCAUCUACUGACUUUUAUCUUACACGUCCACUCUGUAACUGACCUCAUUUUAAUUCAGCAAUGUCUGGGUCAACCUUUUCCGUUGACCAACCCUUAAAAAAAAAAAUUCAAAUACCACCCCUAUUAUUUUGCUUUUUUUUUUUUAUUUUAGUACUAUACGGUUUAAAGUNUCUCUGUGUAUCGCGUUUUCACCCUUUUUUUUUUUUUACCAUACUUGUUUGUUGCGUUGUACGUAUUAUUAUUAUUAUUGUUAGUACUCUAAAUUAGAAUUAGUAGUGUAUGAUUACUUUUAAUGAGUAUCAUUAUUAGGGAUAAUUUUAUUUUAACUCGUUCUAGAAUUAGUAGUGUAUGAGCAUUGCUUCGAUUUUUUUUUUUUCUUGGGAAUUAAUGUUCAGGAGGAGGAAAAAUGAAAAAUCGAAAUUUUAUGGCCCGGAAUGCAUAUAGUGGGAUUUUUUUGUUUGUUUUUUUAUGCUGCCUCUCAAUAUUUAUUUAUUUAUUUAUCUAUUUUUCUCAAUUUGGAUUUUUUUAAAAAAAAAUAUUUCAUGAAAUUAAGCAAAAUUUAAUAUAAAGUAGAAAAUGAGACAUAUAAUUUAUUUUGCGCUCGAAUUUUAGAAAAUUUAGAGAAAGUAAUGAAACUAUUAUUAAUUUUUAUUUUAUUAAAAUUAUUAUUAUUAUUAUUAUUAAUGUUGGGCUUAAGAUGGGUCCAUAAGGUGGUUGGCUAUACUUAUUUGAGGUGGACGGUGUUAAUAAAUAAUAAAUAAUAAAUAAUAAAUAAUAAUUAUUAUUAAGGGGAAAGAAACAGAAGAUACUAUGCCUUGGAUAUUGUAAUCAGAAUAUUCCCGAAGAAUAUUCCCUCUAUGUAUGUGUGUUUUUUUAAAAAUUUUUAAUUAAUGCUAAGCACGAGAUUUGUGGUGAGUGACCACCAAAAUAAGAAUCGGCACUGUAUAUAUUCUUUUAUUUUAUCUUAAAAUAAUAUGAUAAUAUAUAUAUGUUAAUAAUAAUAUGUAUGCUCCUACCACGUUCUUUGUGGGGUCUUUUUAUCACAGCAAUUUGUUUGUUUAUAUAUAUGUAUGCUAGUGAAAUGCGCUCGCUGCGGCGGAUCGAUUUUAUAAAAAUAAAUAAAAUUAAAAUAAUAAAAUAUAAAUAAAAGAAAUUAAAGAAAAACAAUAGCUGCUAUAAUAAAAGCAUAAGAAUAAAAAUAUACAAAGAAAAAAAAUAUAAAAAUUAUAAAUUAUAUUUAUAAUAGCAAUAACAGUUGAGAAUUAAAAUAUCAUAUAUCUAAUUAAAAUAUGAGUUUGAAAGCGUCACAUACUUUAUAAUUUGAGCAAGAAAAUAUUGCCCAUUAAAUUUGAGGACUAAAUUAUCACGCGUCUUAUAAUUUUAGGAUCAAUAGUGUAAUUUAUUCUUUUUAUAUUUUAAUUUUAUUCUAAAUGAAGACCGUUGGUCUGUUUUGUUCAAUCAGUAAUUUUAUCAAAAAAAAAAAAAUUGUUAAGCCAUCUAAUAAAUUUUAAUAUUAGAUUUGAGUCAAUUACUAAUGCUUUUACUUUAAAAUUUGAAUGCUUCUUUUAGCUUUAUAGAUUUAGUUACUAUACUUUAUGUAAUCUUUGUAACUAAAUUUAUUAAAAUAAAUAAUUAAUUUAAACCUCAUCAAAUUUUUUUUUAUUUAUUUUUGAGUAUAUAAUCUAUAUGUAAUUGAUUAAUAUUAUAAAACUAAAUUUUUUAUUUAAUAAUGUAAUCUAAACUAUUUAAAAGUAUAUAUAAAUAAAGUCUGGUUGGGAUUCUAUCGAUAACACCAAACGUUGGGUGCUAUUAAGUUUUUCACCGUUAGAAUUAAGUCUGUGACUAUUUUUAUCCGUUAGAUUAUACUAUUAAAUCAAUAACUUACUCAACCCUAAAGGGCUCACAUCAUCUUAACCAUAUAUUUUUUCAUCCAAGGGCCGAAAAUCUAAUAGCACAAAUAAUUUGAUACUAUUAGUAGCAUUCCAGCAUAGUUCGUAUGAAUAUUUAUAUAUUUUAUUUUUCUAUAAUAAAAGAGAAAAAAAUUAAAUUGAAUUAAAAAAUAAAGUCUAACUUUAUAAUGAAAGAAGAAAAUUAAAUUAAAAAAUUUUAAAAAAACCAUUUCUAGUGGGCCCUACACACUCCCAAACCCACCGUCCCACUCCCCCUCCUCCUGCACGAAAAAUUCUAAAAUGCAACAGGUGUAUUAGUGAUGUGGCGUAAUAAACCAAUCAAAUGUAUCAUUUUAAGAGUAUCUGUCCAAUCAUGAUUCAUGAUUGUAAAAAAAUAUUUUUAUUGUACUCUUUGUUUGAAAAGAAGGAAUGUGAUUGGCUUGUUAUUGAUGACAUUGUGCAAGUGUGACAGUGUAGAAUUCCUCCUGCACGCGCUCCCCCGCCACGUGGCAUCCGACUCUCAAUUCAUGAUAUUUAAUUUAAUAGAUAGAGAGAGAGAGAGUUGAGCUGAAAUAUUAUUAAUAAUAUUUAAACUGUUUUGUUAUAAAUUUUUUAGCUGUUAGAUCUAUACUUUAAUCAAUUUUAUCUUUUAAAUCAUACUAUUCAACCAGCUAUCCACUUAAAUCUUAGGGGGACCACUACUAAACCCUAGGGAUCACUAUUAUUCUAAUCUUAUUAUUUUUAAUCUGAUAAUUAAAAAUUCGAUAGCAAAAGAGUCUAAAUACUUUUAAUAGUAUUUCAGCCUAAUUUUCUCUCUCUCUCCUCUCUCUCUUCUCUCUAUAUUAUAUAUAUAUAUAUAUAUAUAUGGGUCCGGCUACUAUACUAUUAUGAGUACGAUCGCCUUCGUACUCAUAAGUUGUUUUCGAUGAUAGAUCUUCCGAAUCGACGAUCCACACCGUUAAACGUCAUUUUACAGCAUUUAAAACUUCCUAGAAAUCAAUUUAUAAUUUUCGACGUCAUUUACCUUACCAAACGAUCAAGAGGUCACAAAUUUGACAAUUUUUAACGGCCGGUAUGGGAUACUUGCUAGUUUAACGGUGUAAAAGAAUCGAAAUUUGUUGAAUAUUUGAUAAAAAAUUUUAUUCAAUACAUAUAUAAAGAUCAAUAACUCCGAUCUUGAAUUGAAGGAUCCGAUCAUCCUUUUUAGGACGUCGUUCGAUUUUGACCGUUCAUUUUAUACCCACUUGAUGGACUUUAUUAUAAUUUCGAAAAUUUACGAAAUUUAUUUUCUAGAAGUUUCAAAUACUCUAGAUCAUAUUUAACGGAGUGGAUCGUCGAUUUGGAAGCUCCAUCAUUGAAAACAACUUAUGAGUAUGAGGGCUCCAAUACUCAUAAUAGUAUAGUAGCCAUGGCCUAUAUAUAUAUAUACACAUAUAUAUAUAUAUGCUAAAUUAUGAGCCGUUACUAAUUGGAUAGCAUAGUUUUUCCUUUUUUUUAAUUAGUGGCGGAUUUCUUUUUCUAAAAAGAAGGAUAAACUUUAAUUUGCCUCGGUGUAAUGUUUUUCUUUUUAGAGAAACAGAUGGUUCAAAAGAUCUUCUGUUCGCUUUAUUUAUUAAGCAAAUAAAUUAGGCAAUAGAAACUGAGUCAACUAGGCUUCCGCAUAGUUGAUUUUACUUUAAAAAGUUAAAAUUAACUAUCCUAUUAUUUAGUGUGUUUUUUUACUUUACUAUCUUGUUAUUAAAAGAGUUACAAUAAAUUAUCCAGUAAUUUUAUUUUUAUUUUAGUGUAAGGACCCGAGGUUAAACUAUUCUGUAGUUUUUUUUUUCAGUGAAUAAAGUAUAGAAUAGUUAAACACAACUUUUUGAAUCAAAGACCGACUAUCUCUAAAGCAAGUGGCAAAAGGCUUGGUGAUUGGUACCCGAGAUCCAAGUUCGAAUCCUAGUUGAUUUACAUUUUUAGCUAAAUUUAUUUCUAAAUGAAAUAAAUGAAGCGAGUAGCGUGCUACCUAUUUCUCAAAAAAAAAACCUUUUUGAAUCAAAGCGGCUAAAAAUUCUUACCCAAACAGAGCUUUGGAUUUUAGUUCUUCUUUGGGCUGCAUGUUCACUUGCUCUGGGCUCUUAUGGGGGGACCAAUUUCUCUUUAAAUUGUUGAAUUUACAUGGGCUUGGUAUAAUGUAGCCUCUAUAUUAGUAGAGGUUUGGUUAGGUUACUGGGGUUGUCAAUUUUUGUAUUUUCAAAUUUUCAAAACGUUUUUGGUGUCACAUUGAAGGAGAGAUUCAUUAGUUAAUUUGCUAAGAGCCUGUUUAGAUGUUUCUUUUUUUUUUACCCUUUGCAGGAUGUCAACAGAUCGGAUUCGGGACGGAUUUUUACAAAUCCGAACCUAACUCCAAACCCGAAACUCGAACCCGAUGAAUUUUAAAAAUUCAUAUCCAAAUCUGAACCCGACCAACAAUCCUACACCCGAACCCGAAAAUUCGAAUCCGAAACAAUUAUUUCUCUUUUCAAUAUUUCAAAAUAUAUUACAUUAAAUCUAAAAUUUGAAAAUACAAAUUCAAAUAUAACAUUAAAUUUUUAUAUAUAUAUAUAUAUGUAUAUAUAAUGUAAAAUAAAUACGGGUUCGGAUCCAGUACAAUCAAAAUCCAUAUCCGAAUUCAUAUCCGUUGGAUUUUUGUUUUUGAUAUCCAUAUUCGAAACCAUAUUCGUCUAGUAUCGGAUAAAUCCGUUCUGUUCGGAUUCAAGUUCGGAUAAAAUUUCGAGU